Balaenoptera musculus (blue whale) is the source of this 137-nucleotide small nucleolar RNA. Its record names the gene U8. It matches the Rfam family "U8 small nucleolar RNA". Rfam says of the family: U8 is a member of the C/D class of snoRNA which contain the C (UGAUGA) and D (CUGA) box motifs. U8 is the RNA component of a small complex (the U8 snoRNP) which is required for accumulation of mature large subunit ribosomal RNAs, 5.8S and 28S rRNAs. U8 RNA has been identified in human, mouse, rat and Xenopus. NCBI's taxonomy places the organism in Eukaryota, Metazoa, Chordata, Mammalia, Artiodactyla, Balaenopteridae. The record is from Ensembl.
UCGUCAGGUAGGAUAAUCCUUACCUGUUUCUCCUUUUGGAGAACAGAAUGGAAUAUGAUGAUUGGAGCUCGCAUGAUUUCGUGAUUAACGGCUGUGCGUAAUCGGGACUUGCAACAUCCUGAUUGCUCCUUUCUGAU